Molecule: ribosomal RNA, 427 nt
Filed under: uncultured bacterium
Lineage: Bacteria
Description: partial 16S ribosomal RNA
Rfam family: Bacterial small subunit ribosomal RNA
Source: RNAcentral
UGGGGAAUAUUGCACAAUGGGCGCAAGCCUGAUGCAGCCAUGCCGCGUGUAUGAAGAAGGCCUUCGGGUUGUAAAGUACUUUCAGCGGGGAGGAAGGCGAUAAGGUUAAUAACCUUGUCGAUUGACGUUACCCGCAGAAGAAGCACCGGCUAACUCCGUGCCAGCAGCCGCGGUAAUACGGAGGGUGCAAGCGUUAAUCGGAAUUACUGGGCGUAAAGCGCACGCAGGCGGUCUGUCAAGUCGGAUGUGAAAUGCCCGGGCUCAACCUUGGAACUGCAUUCGAAACUGGCAGGCUAGAGUCUUGUAGAGGGGGGUAGAAUUACAGGUGUAGCGGUGAAAUGCGUAGAGAUCUGGAGGAAUACCGGUGGCGAAGGCGGCCCCCUGGACAAAGACUGACGCUCAGGUGCGAAAGCGUGGGGAGCAAACA